RNAcentral lists this ribosomal RNA (460 nucleotides) under uncultured bacterium. RNAcentral describes it as "partial 16S ribosomal RNA". It matches the Rfam family "Bacterial small subunit ribosomal RNA", at positions 338 to 795 of the family's 1533-position model. The record is from RNAcentral.
CCUACGGGAGGCUGCAGUGAGGAAUAUUGGUCAAUGGACGAGAGUCUGAACCAGCCAAGUAGCGUGAAGGAUGACUGCCCUAUGGGUUGUAAACUUCUUUUAUAUGGGAAUAAAAUGUUCCACGUGUGGGAUUUUGUAUGUACCAUAUGAAUAAGGAUCGGCUAACUCCGUGCCAGCAGCCGCGGUAAUACGGAGGAUCCGAGCGUUAUCCGGAUUUAUUGGGUUUAAAGGGAGCGUAGGUGGUUUGUUAAGUCAGUUGUGAAAGUUUGCGGCUCAACCGUAAAAUUGCAGUUGAAACUGGCAGUCUUGAGUACAGUAGAGGUGGGCGGAAUUCGUGGUGUAGCGGUGAAAUGCUUAGAUAGCACGAAGAACUCCGAUUGCGAAGGCAGUUCACUGGACUGCAACUGACACUGAGGCUCGAAAGUGUGGGUAUCAAACAGGAUUAGAUACCCGUGUAGUC